GAACGGAAAGGCCUUUUCGGAGGUACUCGAGUGGCGAACGGGUGAGUAACACGUGGGUGAUCUGCCCUGCACUCUGGGAUAAGCCUGGGAAACUGGGUCUAAUACCGGAUAGGACCGCACUUUAGUGUGUGUGGUGGAAAGUUUUUUCGGUGUAGGAUGAGCUCGCGGCCUAUCAGCUUGUUGGUGGGGUAAUGGCCUACCAAGGCGGCGACGGGUAGCCGGCCUGAGAGGGUGUACGGCCACAUUGGGACUGAGAUACGGCCCAGACUCCUACGGGAGGCAGCAGUGGGGAAUAUUGCACAAUGGGCGCAAGCCUGAUGCAGCGACGCCGCGUGGGGGACGAAGGCCUUCGGGUUGUAAACUCCUUUCGCUAGGGACGAAGCUUUUUGUGACGGUACCUAGAUAAGAAGCACCGGCUAACUACGUGCCAGCAGCCGCGGUAAUACGUAGGGUGCGAGCGUUGUCCGGAAUUACUGGGCGUAAAGGGCUCGUAGGUGGUUUGUCGCGUCGUCUGUGAAAUUCUGGGGCUUAACUCCGGGCGUGCAGGCGAUACGGGCAUAACUUGAGUGCUGUAGGGGUAACUGGAAUUCCUGGUGUAGCGGUGAAAUGCGCAGAUAUCAGGAGGAACACCGAUGGCGAAGGCAGGUUACUGGGCAGUUACUGACGCUGAGGAGCGAAAGCA
This 682-nucleotide ribosomal RNA is filed under the name uncultured Actinomycetales bacterium. RNAcentral describes it as "bacterial SSU rRNA". It matches the Rfam family "Bacterial small subunit ribosomal RNA", at positions 64 to 761 of the family's 1533-position model. The record is from RNAcentral. Lineage: Bacteria; Bacillati; Actinomycetota; Actinomycetes; Actinomycetales.